Molecule: long non-coding RNA, 529 nt
Filed under: Homo sapiens (human)
Lineage: Eukaryota; Metazoa; Chordata; Mammalia; Primates; Hominidae
Description: novel transcript
Source: RNAcentral
UCUCCUUUAUCAAGGAACUGGACUUCAUUCUCCUGCAAAAGCUGCUUGAUCUUGACCUGUUGCUGUUUGACCCGGGUCUCAAGCAGGCGCACCUGGGCUCUGAGCCGCAUCUGCUCCUGGGCACAGUCCUCGAGCGCCUGCAAAACAGUUCCCAUUUCAGAAUAUUAUUCCAAAGAGAAAGUGGCUUGAAAAGUUCUAAUACUGCCUACUAUUUGAAGAAUUGGAAAUUAUGGCUUAUGCGAAAACUCCUGGACUCAAAAGAUCAAAUAAUAUAAAAUAAUUGGAAUCGCUAUGCUAGGAGCUUUAUAGUUGUCUCCUUUGAUCCUCAUAACAAUUCCAUGCGGUAGGAAAGGGCUCAGUCUUGAUGCCCAGUGGGUAAGCGGAGGUGGGAUUCAAAUUCAGUUCAAGGACUGUGCUCUCAAUCUCUAUAUGACAUUGCUUAUGUGUUUUCUAAACAGUAAUGUGGUUUAUAGAAGUUAAUUGUACUGUUGGCAUGUAAAUCUCCAUAAUAAAUGAGGUUUUUGAAUGG